AGUGAACGCUGGCGGCAGGCCUAACACAUGCAAGUCGAACGGCAGCACAGUAAGAGCUUGCCCCUACGGGUGGCGAGUGGCGGACGGGUGAGGCAUACAUCGGAAUCUACCUUUUCGUGGGGGAUAACGUAGGGAAACUUACGCUAAUACCGCAUACGACCUACGGGUGAAAGCAGGGGAUCUUCGGACCUUGCGCGAUUGAAUGAGCCGAUGUCGUAUUAGCUAGUUGGCGGGGUAAAGGCCCACCAAGGCGACGAUCCGUAGCUGAUCUGAGAGGAUGAUCGGCCACACUGGAACUGAGACACGGUCCAGACUCCUACGGGAGGCAGCAGUGGGGAAUAUUGGGCAAUGGGCGAAAGCCUGAUCCAGCCAUGCCGCGUGAGUGAAGAAGGCCUUCGGAUUGUAAAACCCUUUUGUUAGGAAAGAAAAGCAGCGGAUGAAUACCCCGCUGUUCUGACGGUACCCAAAGAGUAAGCAACGGCUAACUUCGUG
Molecule: ribosomal RNA, 492 nt
Filed under: uncultured bacterium
Lineage: Bacteria
Description: partial 16S ribosomal RNA
Rfam family: Bacterial small subunit ribosomal RNA
Source: RNAcentral